GUGGGUUCCUAGGAGUGAGUAGUAAUGGAGAAACAAGACAACACUGAUGUCCAACACAGCAGCAAGAGACACUGCUUAGCCAUACGGGAAGCUGCUGCUUCUGUUGACAGGUUGCUUUGCUGUCCAAUUCUUCUCCUUAAAAGUCAGGACAACUAAUUGCUAUAAGCUGUCACAGGCUGUUCUCCUCACCUACAUAUUGUAUUUGAACUGAGGAACAACUUUCAUCAUCUUACCAGCACAGGAAAAAUAAUAUAGAUGUUUCCAAAUGAUUAAAAAUCAGAAGAGGGAAUGCUGAGGACUGUAGCCAGCUCAAGAAAAUUCAGCUUUGUUUAAGCAAGGCUAUAUAUUUUUAUGUUCAAGAAGUAUUAACACUUCCCUGUCUCACCUCAGCAGAUUUCAUUUUCUUGGAAUAAAUUGUUAGCAUUUGUAUAAAUUCGGCACAAUUAUUUUGGAGGCUCUUUGAGAGGGGGUUUUGCUUCAGAGCUCAAACAAGAGUGUUUGAGUGAAUUUUUGGCUUCAAGCAUGGAUGUUUUUUUAAUUGAAUGUGCCUGUCAAGACCUCUGGCUUCCUGUACAAACACAAAAUUAUGAGACAGACUAGCUUUCCAAAUCUGCAGUACCCUCACCAUCAUCCAACUGAUCCUCCUGAGGAGCAUCUGAUCAUUGCAUAUUCACAUGCAGAAAAACAGUGAAGAAGAAAACUAGACAAAGCUCAGGCAGUUCUUCACUAAAAAAUGUCAUCUUAUUGUUGUCCUCUCUGCCUCUUCCCUUUACCCACCCUUCUGUGCUAGUUGUGGACGUUAGCUUAAAUGCUUCAUUUGAAUGCUCUACUAAUGAUAUUUGCGGAUACCACAUGGGAAGUGCUUGGCUUUGGAAAAGCCUAUGUGCUGUACCAGUUAGAGGUUGUCCAAGUAAAAUCCACAAUCUUUUGGCUACAGAAGUGAUAUGGGAGACAGAGGAUGGAGUACAGGGAUAUUUUUUUGCUCUGAGAGAAAGAGAAGCCAUGUUCUCUGCUACCUGUGAAUUUAAUUCCUUGAGUCACUGAAAAAAACAAGUGGUGCUCUGAAGAGGGUACUGAUUAAUAGUAGUGACCUAAUUGACUUAAUUUGGGUUUAUGUUUCUGACACUGGUACAUUAAAAAUCGUUUAAGUG
Molecule: long non-coding RNA, 1151 nt
Organism: Neopsephotus bourkii (Bourke's parrot)
Lineage: Eukaryota; Metazoa; Chordata; Aves; Psittaciformes; Psittacidae
Exons: 2
Source: RefSeq, a predicted model, not a curated record